Molecule: transfer RNA, 72 nt
Filed under: Ailuropoda melanoleuca (giant panda)
Lineage: Eukaryota; Metazoa; Chordata; Mammalia; Carnivora; Ursidae
Rfam family: tRNA
About the family: Transfer RNA (tRNA) molecules are approximately 80 nucleotides in length. Their secondary structure includes four short double-helical elements and three loops (D, anti-codon, and T loops).
Source: Rfam by way of RNAcentral
ACCUGGCUGGUUCAGUUGGUAGAGCAUGUGACUCUUGAUCUCGGGGUCAUGAGUUCGACCUCAUAUUGGGUG